RNAcentral lists this transfer RNA (75 nucleotides) under Caudoviricetes sp. RNAcentral describes it as "tRNA-Gly". It matches the Rfam family "tRNA". Rfam says of the family: Transfer RNA (tRNA) molecules are approximately 80 nucleotides in length. Their secondary structure includes four short double-helical elements and three loops (D, anti-codon, and T loops). Further hydrogen bonds mediate the characteristic L-shaped molecular structure. tRNAs have two regions of fundamental functional importance: the anti-codon, which is responsible for specific mRNA codon recognition, and the 3' end, to which the tRNAs corresponding amino acid is attached (by aminoacyl-tRNA synthetases). tRNAs cope with the degeneracy of the genetic code in two manners: having more than one tRNA (with a specific anti-codon) for a particular amino acid; and 'wobble' base-pairing, i.e. permitting non-standard base-pairing at the 3rd anti-codon position. Lineage: Duplodnaviria; Heunggongvirae; Uroviricota; Caudoviricetes. The record is from RNAcentral.
GCACCAGUAGUUUAACGGCUAGAAUAGAAGAUUUCCAAUCUUCGGGCGAGGGUUCAACUCCCUCUUGGUGCUCCA